This 427-nucleotide ribosomal RNA is filed under the name uncultured bacterium. RNAcentral's name for it is "partial 16S ribosomal RNA". It matches the Rfam family "Bacterial small subunit ribosomal RNA", at positions 355 to 774 of the family's 1533-position model. The record is from RNAcentral.
UGGGGAAUAUUGGACAAUGGGCGAAAGCCUGAUCCAGCCAUGCCGCGUGUGUGAAGAAGGUCUUCGGAUUGUAAAGCACUUUAAGUUGGGAGGAAGGGCAUUAACCUAAUACGUUAGUGUUUUGACGUUACCGACAGAAUAAGCACCGGCUAACUCUGUGCCAGCAGCCGCGGUAAUACAGAGGGUGCAAGCGUUAAUCGGAAUUACUGGGCGUAAAGCGCGCGUAGGUGGUUUGUUAAGUUGGAUGUGAAAUCCCCGGGCUCAACCUGGGAACUGCAUUCAAAACUGACUGACUAGAGUAUGGUAGAGGGUGGUGGAAUUUCCUGUGUAGCGGUGAAAUGCGUAGAUAUAGGAAGGAACACCAGUGGCGAAGGCGACCACCUGGACUAAUACUGACACUGUGGUGCGAAAGCGUGGGGAGCAAACA